AGCGAACGCUGGCGGCAGGCCUAACACAUGCAAGUCGAGCGCCCCUCCUUCAGAGGACAGAGGACGGACGGCAGAGGACGGAUCAGACCGUCGUCGGUCGUCUGAUGUCUGUUCUCUGAUGGAGGGGAGCGGCAGACGGGAGAGUAACACGUGGGAACGUACCCUUUGGUUCGGAACAACCCAGGGAAACUUGGGCUAAUACCGGAUAAGCCCUCACGGGGAAAGAUUCAUCGCCGAAGGAUCGGCCCGCGUCUGAUUAGCUGGUUGGUGGGGUAAUGGCCCACCAAGGCGACGAUCAGUAGCUGGUCUGAGAGGAUGAUCAGCCUCACUGGGACUGAGACACGGCCCAGACUCCUACGGGAGGCAGCAGUGGGGAAUAUUGGACAAUGGGCGCAAGCCUGAUCCAGCCAUGCCGCGUGGGUGAUGAAGGCCCUAGGGUUGUAAAGCCCUUUCGGCGGGGAAGAUAAUGACGGUACCCGCAGAAGAAGCCCCGGCUAACUUCGUGCCAGCCGCCGCAGUAACAC
This 524-nucleotide ribosomal RNA is filed under the name uncultured bacterium. Its description in RNAcentral is "bacterial SSU rRNA". It matches the Rfam family "Bacterial small subunit ribosomal RNA", at positions 29 to 526 of the family's 1533-position model. The record is from RNAcentral.